CUUGCUCCUUUGACGUUAGCGGCGGACGGGUGAGUAACACGUGGGUAACCUACCUAUAAGACUGGGAUAACUUCGGGAAACCGGAGCUAAUACCGGAUAAUAUUUCGAACCGCAUGGUUCGAUAGUGAAAGAUGGUUUUGCUAUCACUUAUAGAUGGACCCGCGCCGUAUUAGCUAGUUGGUAAGGUAACGGCUUACCAAGGCGACGAUACGUAGCCGACCUGAGAGGGUGAUCGGCCACACUGGAACUGAGACACGGUCCAGACUCCUACGGGAGGCAGCAGUAGGGAAUCUUCCGCAAUGGGCGAAAGCCUGACGGAGCAACGCCGCGUGAGUGAUGAAGGUCUUCGGAUCGUAAAACUCUGUUAUUAGGGAAGAACAUACGUGUAAGUAACUGUGCACGUCUUGACGGUACCUAAUCAGAAAGCCACGGCUAACUACGUGCCAGCAGCCGCGGUAAUACGUAGGUGGCAAGCGUUAUCCGGAAUUAUUGGGCGUAAAGCGCGCGUAGGCGGUUUUUUAAGUCUGAUGUGAAAGCCCACGGCUCAACCGUGGAGGGUCAUUGGAAACUGGAAAACUUGAGUGCAGAAGAGGAAAGUGGAAUUCCAUGUGUAGCGGUGAAAUGCGCAGAGAUAUGGAGGAACACCAGUGGCGAAGGCGACUUUCUGGUCUGUAACUGACGCUGAUGUGCGAAAGCGUGGGGAUCAAACAGGAUUAGAUACCCUGGUAGUCCACGCCGUAAACGAUGAGUGCUAAGUGUUAGGGG
RNAcentral lists this ribosomal RNA (765 nucleotides) under Staphylococcus sp. RNAcentral's name for it is "bacterial SSU rRNA". It matches the Rfam family "Bacterial small subunit ribosomal RNA", at positions 79 to 829 of the family's 1533-position model. The record is from RNAcentral. Lineage: Bacteria; Bacillati; Bacillota; Bacilli; Caryophanales; Staphylococcaceae.